GUGAAUAACAAGACACACUCUAAAACUGAAAUGAUACAGAGAAAAUUAGUAUUGUCCCUGUGCAAGGAUGAUAGACUGAUUCAUGAAGAGUUCUAUUUUUUU
Hypanus sabinus (Atlantic stingray) is the source of this 102-nucleotide small nuclear RNA. The record is from RefSeq and is a predicted model, not a curated record. Lineage: Eukaryota; Metazoa; Chordata; Chondrichthyes; Myliobatiformes; Dasyatidae.